Haemorhous mexicanus (house finch) is the source of this 2223-nucleotide long non-coding RNA. RefSeq lists it as uncharacterized. The transcript is spliced from 2 exons. NCBI's taxonomy places the organism in Eukaryota, Metazoa, Chordata, Aves, Passeriformes, Fringillidae. The record is from RefSeq and is a predicted model, not a curated record.
AGCCGCCCGCCCGCCUCCCGCCGCCACAGCCCGGAGGGUCCCACGGCCCCGCCCCGCCGGAGCGAGCGCGGCCUCCGCAGGCACCAUCGGAGGUCCAGGCGCUCGCCGGCCCCGCGGGAGGAUGUUAUUACUCUGCAGCCUGAUGGAUAAUCCCACGCAGAAUCACUGAAUCAAUUGGGUUGGAAAAGACUUCUGCAAUCAUUGAGUCCAGCCUAUGACGGAUCAUAACCUUGUCAACUAGACCAGAGCACAUCCAGGCUUUCCUUAAACAUCUCCAGGGAUGGUGACUCUACCACCUCCCUUGGCAGACCCUUCCAAUGUCUAAUCACCCUUUCCAAUGUCUAAUCACCCUUUUUUUGAAAAAAAAUUCAUAGAUGAACAACCUAUACUUCCCUGGCACAGCUUAAGACCCUGUCUUCUCAUCCUGUCACUGGUUGCCUGGGAGAAGAGGCUAAUCCCCACCUGGCUAAACCUCCUUUCAGGUAGUUGAAGAAUAAUGGUAAAAGCCACAAGCUUUUCAAGUAAUGAAAUAAUUAGAUAGAGGUUGUACUGGUCAGAAGCCAUUAUUAGGUAAAAAUAAAAUACAUCUUAGAAAAAAAAACAGGAUUCAGAAAACUGUAUGGUAGGAAGUGGGUAAGUGCUCUCUCACCAAAUACGUCCUGUUUAAAAGUAGGUAGAGCACCUGUGAAAUUACAAAUGCUGAUGGCAAAUGAUGAUUGUUUCAGGUGUAAUACUGUUGUAGUUUUAAGAAUUCAGCUGUGAUACAUCCUUUAUGUGUCUUCACAUAAAAAGUCCUACUGUCUUGGAGAUGUGCUGGGCUCUAGGAACGACAAUCCAAAGACAUGAAAUGGUCAAAAGUAUAAGUUUUCAAAAGACUGCAUAAAGGACAAAAAAACCCUAUUUAUUUGAUUCCUUUUGAGCUUCAAAUAUUUUAAGCUUUCUUUGUUUAAUAUGAGCAGCAUUAAAGCUGUCUUUUACAUGAGGAAGUUUUGUCAUCAAGUGCUCCAAUCAUAAUAACAUCUGUUUAUUUGGCAUUAAUUGUUUGCCUGAAUUCUACCUUGGGUAUGUAGCUGAAGUAGUUUAGAGUAGUCAUUUAAGCUAAUGCUAAAGAUAACUGCUGCACCCAAUUGGUUUGACUUUACUUGGCAGUCACCAACAUUCAUGGACACUGAACUGUAUAAAUGAGUUAAUCAGAUAAGUAAUCUUUUUGUAAAUAAACUCAGGUUAGAUUUAGUCCAGAUAAGUGCCAUCUGAUCUGUGGUGCAGGUUGCAUAAAUGUUCAUGCUGAUACAAGGAAGCACAAAAAAAAAGAGAGCAGGAUCAUUUUCCAUUGUAGAGUAUAGGAGCAUGAUUGCAUAAUGUUAGAGUGAAUUUAAAACACUGAAAAUCUGUUUCAGCAGGAAAAAAAUUACUUCUUACAUAACUAAUAAGAAAAUUGGAUGUUCUGCCCAAUAUUGAAAGACCUUUUCUCCUCCAAAUUGCUUCACGAAACAGGAGUACUGGCAUGCUAAACUCCUUUUUGGGGCUCUGAGCAAGCCAGACCAGAAUGGCAGUAUUAAAAUUAAAUUAGCCAUUGCACAUUUUUUUGAGCUGCCACUUCUGACCAAAGUCUCCGUUAAUACUGGUUGUAUCAUUUGAAGCACUAUACGAGUAUGUUAUGGCAAUUACCUUCUAUACAUAUGUGUAUAUUUGCAUAGGAGCUAUCCUAAAGAAAUUAAAUUAAGGCAAGGACUUGUUUAUAAAGUGGACUUACUGAGGUCUGCUGCAUCCACCAUCAUGGUUUUUAUGUGGAGACUUGUUCUUAAGUGCUUUCUACAUAAUGGAAAGAAAAUAGACUUAAUAGUUUUCAGAACCCAGGAGUAAUACUAGAAGCACUUUCCUUAAAAAUAAAAAUUAGUUUACAUUAUUACUUAACUUGGAAAUUUCAAAAAUGAUAUUUUGUAAAGAGUGCAGAAAUCCCUGAAACUGUUCUUCCUGCACAGUAGCCUCUGAAGUGUACAUAUAUAUUUUAAAUAAUCCUCUUGAUUAUUCAAGUCAUAUUCACAGUAUGUUUCCAAGUGUGUCUAUAGAACAUUUAACAGGGAUUAUAUACUGUAUUAGUCUUGAACAUAUAAUCUGUAUUCUGAUAAAUUAUUCUUAAAGGAAUUUUGUGUGUUAGUGUUGCUUUUCUCUGUGUCUUCAAAAGUUAGUUGUAUCUUAAAUACAGGAUUUUCUUUCACAUAA